RNAcentral lists this transfer RNA (72 nucleotides) under Camelus bactrianus (Bactrian camel). It matches the Rfam family "tRNA". Rfam says of the family: Transfer RNA (tRNA) molecules are approximately 80 nucleotides in length. Their secondary structure includes four short double-helical elements and three loops (D, anti-codon, and T loops). Lineage: Eukaryota; Metazoa; Chordata; Mammalia; Artiodactyla; Camelidae. The record is from Rfam by way of RNAcentral. RNAcentral also lists the same sequence under 1 other name.
GGAGGUAGAGCUCAGUGGUAGAGCAUGUGCUUGCCAUGCAUGAGGUCCUGGGUUCAACUGCCAGUGCUUCCG